AAGUCGUAACAAGGUUUCCGUAGGUGAACCUGCGGAAGGAUCAUUACCAAAUCCAAAAAAUACCCAAACCCCAUGUGAACUAUUGUUUGUUGUACUUGGGGUGGUUGGUGGUAUAAAGGUUUUUUUUAAACUUUUUUCCCUGCCCGCCCCAAAAGAAUCCGGCACUCCGGUGCUUGUGAUUCUUGAUAAACUACAGAUUUCUAUUGUUUUGGAAUGACUUUUAUUUAAAUUUAAUAAAAGACAACUUUUAACGGUGGAUCUCUUGGCUCGUG
Molecule: unclassified non-coding RNA, 272 nt
Filed under: fungal sp.
Lineage: Eukaryota; Fungi
Description: partial internal transcribed spacer region
Rfam family: Eukaryotic small subunit ribosomal RNA (bases 1-46)
Source: RNAcentral